UAUUCUGCCCUACAGGGAAGGAUGAGAAGCUUCGACUAAGGUUCGACUCGAGCGAAGCGAGAGAACGUUGCCGCAGGCAACGGCCCGAAGGGCGAGGCGCUUUAGCGCCGAGUAAUCCUUCCCCCACCACUG
RNAcentral lists this small RNA (132 nucleotides) under Pseudomonas aeruginosa. RNAcentral's name for it is "RtT sRNA". It matches the Rfam family "RtT RNA". Rfam says of the family: This family represents a bacterial cis-regulatory element known as RtT RNA. The exact function of RtT is unknown although it is thought that it may be involved in changing the cellular response in relation to amino acid starvation. RNAcentral also lists the same sequence under 7 other names. Lineage: Bacteria; Pseudomonadati; Pseudomonadota; Gammaproteobacteria; Pseudomonadales; Pseudomonadaceae. The record is from RNAcentral.